This 293-nucleotide ribosomal RNA is filed under the name uncultured bacterium. RNAcentral's name for it is "partial 16S ribosomal RNA". It matches the Rfam family "Bacterial small subunit ribosomal RNA", at positions 505 to 796 of the family's 1533-position model. The record is from RNAcentral.
GUGUCAGCAGCCGCGGUAAGACGGAGGAGGCAAGCGUUAUCCGGAAUUAUUGGGCGUAAAGCGUCCGUAGGUGGUUAUUCAAGUCUGCUGUCAAAACCCAGGGCUUAACUCUGGAUCGGCAGUGGAAACUGAGUGACUAGAGAGCGGCAGGGGCAGAGGGAAUUCCCGGUGUAGCGGUGAAAUGCGUAGAGAUCGGGAAGAACACCGGUGGCGAAAGCGCUCUGCUGGGCCGCGACUGACACUCACAGGACGAAAGCUAGGGGAGCGAAUGGGAUUAGAAACCCCCGUAGUCC